This 179-nucleotide ribosomal RNA is filed under the name Cystofilobasidium capitatum. Its description in RNAcentral is "5.8S ribosomal RNA". The stretch from base 10 to 163 matches the Rfam family "5.8S ribosomal RNA". From Rfam's summary of the family: 5.8S ribosomal RNA (5.8S rRNA) is a component of the large subunit of the eukaryotic ribosome. The record is from RNAcentral. RNAcentral also lists the same sequence under 1 other name. Lineage: Eukaryota; Fungi; Basidiomycota; Tremellomycetes; Cystofilobasidiales; Cystofilobasidiaceae.
AACUAAUAUAACUUUCAACAACGGAUCUCUUGGUUCUCGCAUCGAUGAAGAACGCAGCGAAUUGCGAUAAGUAAUGUGAAUUGCAGAAUUCAGUGAAUCAUCGAAUCUUUGAACGCAUCUUGCGCUCUUUGGUAUUCCGAAGAGCAUGCCUGUUUGAGUGUCAUGAAACUCUCACCUCC